UACGAAGGGGGCGAGCGUUGUCCGGAAUUAUUGGGCGUAAAGGGCUCGUAGGCGGUUUGUCGCGUCGGGAGUGAAAACCUCGGGCUUAACUCGGGGCUUGCUUUCGAUACGGGCAGACUGGAGGUAUGCAGGGGAGAACGGAAUUCCUGGUGUAGCGGUGAAAUGCGCAGAUAUCAGGAGGAACACCGGUGGCGAAGGCGGUUCUCUGGGCAUGACCUGACGCUGAGGAGCGAAAGUGUGGGGAGCGAACAGG
RNAcentral lists this ribosomal RNA (253 nucleotides) under uncultured bacterium. Its description in RNAcentral is "partial 16S ribosomal RNA". It matches the Rfam family "Bacterial small subunit ribosomal RNA", at positions 524 to 776 of the family's 1533-position model. The record is from RNAcentral.